GAGGGUGUAGCUCAAGUGGUAGAGCGCUUGCUUAGCAUGCAUGAGGUCCUGAGUUCAAUCCCCAGUACCUCCU
Molecule: transfer RNA, 73 nt
Filed under: Camelus bactrianus (Bactrian camel)
Lineage: Eukaryota; Metazoa; Chordata; Mammalia; Artiodactyla; Camelidae
Also listed under: 1 other name
Rfam family: tRNA
About the family: Transfer RNA (tRNA) molecules are approximately 80 nucleotides in length. Their secondary structure includes four short double-helical elements and three loops (D, anti-codon, and T loops). Further hydrogen bonds mediate the characteristic L-shaped molecular structure. tRNAs have two regions of fundamental functional importance: the anti-codon, which is responsible for specific mRNA codon recognition, and the 3' end, to which the tRNAs corresponding amino acid is attached (by aminoacyl-tRNA synthetases). tRNAs cope with the degeneracy of the genetic code in two manners: having more than one tRNA (with a specific anti-codon) for a particular amino acid; and 'wobble' base-pairing, i.e. permitting non-standard base-pairing at the 3rd anti-codon position.
Source: Rfam by way of RNAcentral